Molecule: transfer RNA, 76 nt
Filed under: Xanthomonas phage XacN1
Lineage: Duplodnaviria; Heunggongvirae; Uroviricota; Caudoviricetes
Description: tRNA-His
Rfam family: tRNA
About the family: Transfer RNA (tRNA) molecules are approximately 80 nucleotides in length. Their secondary structure includes four short double-helical elements and three loops (D, anti-codon, and T loops).
Source: RNAcentral
GGGACGGUAGCUCAACGGUUAGAGUGCUGCACUGUGAAUGCGGUGAUAGCGGGUUCGAUUCCCCUCCGUCCCCCCA